RNAcentral lists this ribosomal RNA (199 nucleotides) under uncultured bacterium. RNAcentral's name for it is "partial 16S ribosomal RNA". It matches the Rfam family "Bacterial small subunit ribosomal RNA", at positions 328 to 539 of the family's 1533-position model. The record is from RNAcentral.
ACGCUCGACACCUACGGGAGACAGCAGUCGGGAAUAUUGCGCAAUGGAGGAAACUCUGACGCAGUGACGCCGCGUAUAGGAAGAAGGUUUUCGGAUUGUAAACUAUUGUCGUUAGGGAAGAUACAAGACAGUACCUAAGGAGGAAGCACCGGCUAACUAUGUGCCAGCAGCCGCGGUAAUCUGAGCGGGCUGGCAAGGC